RNAcentral lists this ribosomal RNA (263 nucleotides) under uncultured bacterium. Its description in RNAcentral is "partial 16S ribosomal RNA". It matches the Rfam family "Bacterial small subunit ribosomal RNA", at positions 793 to 1055 of the family's 1533-position model. The record is from RNAcentral.
GUCCACGCCGUAAACGAUGUCGACUUGGAGGCUGUGAGCAUGACUCGUGGCUUCCGGAGCUAACGCGUUAAGUCGACCGCCUGGGGAGUACGGCCGCAAGGUUAAAACUCAAAUGAAUUGACGGGGGCCCGCACAAGCGGUGGAGCAUGUGGUUUAAUUCGAUGCAACGCGAAGAACCUUACCUGCUCUUGACAUCCACGGAAUUCGGCAGAGAUGCCUUAGUGCCUUCGGGAACCGUGAGACAGGUGCUGCAUGGCUGUCGU